GUCGUAAGCAGAACAGAACGUUAGCUCCCCACAGUGGAGGUCUGGCCAACAACAACGGCAUGACCAGCAGUCAGCACGGAUUUGAAUCCAGGCAACACUGACCAGAGACCUGCACUAGUUUGGAUGAAGAACGCUACAUACAUUUGUGAACCAUUUCUUGUGUUGGAAAAACAGGAGACCUGAAGAGUUCUUGCAAAGAACAGGAGUGGGCAGGAAACAGGAAUACGCUGUUGAAAACAUGGCCAACCAACUGGAGGAGUCCACAAGCCUUUGUGCUUCAGGAUGGAUGUAAAAAACUCUUUGAUCAACCCCCAACUGAGAGAGUUGAGGUGGCUAUCUUGUGGAGACACCCCUGGCUGGUAGUGCUGCUGAAACAGGUGGAGGCAACAGAAAGAGAAGGCAGGUGGCAAAGGUUGCUGCUAUUGAGUGUGUGUGCAUGUGUGUAGCUGGGUAGGUCAUGGGACAUGGUAGAAAAAUACAGAAUUUAAAGCAUUAACACAAUACUUAACUCACAACCCACAACUACUGACAAUGGAAUUACUCUUUUAGAGUGAGUGAGGGAGAGAGACAGAAUAUUUCUGUAAAUGUUUAAUGUUAAUUUAGAAUAAUUUAUUUCUUUGAAUCAUUAUACAGUUUUAAAAUGUUUAAUUGUUUGUGUUUUUUAAUAUGAAAGAUGUCGAUUGUUGUAGAUGAA
Molecule: long non-coding RNA, 694 nt
Organism: Alosa alosa (allis shad)
Lineage: Eukaryota; Metazoa; Chordata; Actinopteri; Clupeiformes; Clupeidae
Exons: 5
Source: RefSeq, a predicted model, not a curated record